UGAGGAAUAUUGGUCAAUGGGCGAGAGCCUGAACCAGCCAAGUCGCGUGAGGGAAGACUGCCCUAUGGGUUGUAAACCUCUUUUGUAAGGGAAGAACCGACAUUACGUGUAAUGUUUUGCCAGUACCUUACGAAUAAGCAUCGGCUAACUCCGUGCCAGCAGCCGCGGUAAUACGUAGGGGGCAAGCGUUGUCCGGAAUUACUGGGCGUAAAGAGCACGUAGGCGGUAACCUAAGUCAGAUGUGAAAGACCAGGGCUUAACUCUGGGGUUGCAUACGAAACUGGGUAACUAGAGUGCAGGAGAGGAAAGUGGAAUUCCUAGUGUAGCGGUGAAAUGCGUAGAUAUUAGGAGGAACACCAGUGGCGAAGGCGGCUUUCUGGACUGUAACUGACGCUGAGGUGCGAAAGCCAGGGGAGCGAACG
RNAcentral lists this ribosomal RNA (422 nucleotides) under uncultured bacterium. RNAcentral describes it as "bacterial SSU rRNA". It matches the Rfam family "Bacterial small subunit ribosomal RNA", at positions 355 to 774 of the family's 1533-position model. The record is from RNAcentral.